GAAAUAGAAAAACUAAACUUUGUAGACAGAUAUUUUUGCCAAUGAAAUAUCUUGUCAGAAAGUUUUGGACAAUUUGGUAAGGGGAUAAAUAAUUUGAAUCUUGGGUGAAAAACUGUAAAAAAAAAAAAAAUAGCUGAGAUUUAUCAGAAAUUCACCUGCCUUUCUCUGUGGGAAUUAAUGGACUGGAAUUGCUGUAGUAAGAAGAGUGAGUUCUGUUCUUAAAUGGGAAUUAGUAGGGACUCAUAGAAGGUGAUGUUGGACUUCCUCUCUGCACAAUUCAUUUCUCUCAUCUUUUCUACAUCAGUACUUUGCUAGAGAUAAAAUAAAUACUUAACAUACAUAAAUAUAUUUUUUUGCUGUCUUCUCUCCAGGGUUGCUGUUAAGCACAGAGUGUGUUUUCUGAAAGGCUCUUCUUUACAUAAGAAGGUCAAACGUAUGGACUUUCUGUUUCCAAAGAAGGAGCAUAGUGUUACAGGCAAACAGCUCCUGAGUCUGCUAUCCAGAAGAAUGCUUGGCUUCUUGACAUUGUCCCAUUCUCUCAAGAGAGUCCCAACAGGCAGGAGAGGAAGGAAAUGGACCCAGGGAUACUUACCCUGCGGUAAGUUCAAGGUCAAGCCCAUGCUGCUUUCCACAUGCUGCUGCUGCUGCUAAGUCACUUCAGUCGUGUCUGACUCUGUGUGACCCCAUAGAUGGCAGCCCACCAGGCUCCCCCGUCCCUGGGAUUCUUCAGGCAAGAACACUGGAGUGGAUUGCCGUUUCCUUCUCCAAUGCAUGAAAGUGAAAAGGGAAAGUGAAGUCGCUCAGUCGUGUCCGACUCUUCAUGACCCCAUGAACUGCAGCCCACCAGGCUCCCCCAUCCAUGCGAUUUUCCAGGCAAGAGUACUGGAGUGGGUUGCCAUUGCCUUCUCCAGCUUGCCACAUAACACACCAAUAAACUGAGAGACAGGUGGGGCAAGAAAUUGCGACUUUAUUUGCGAAGCCAGCAGACCAAGAAGAUGGUGGACUAGUGUCCCAAAUAACCAUCUUAUCCAAAUUAGAAAUCAGGUGUGUUUUUUGUUGUUGUUGUUGUUUUUUAAUACUGAAAGGGGAGGGAGUGUGACUUUGGUAUAGGAAUCCUUUGCUCUUGAAGCUGCCCAAGUAUUAGAUCUGGUCACAAUGUUCCAGUAAACCUCCUACAAGACUAUGUUAUUUUCCAUUCUGCAACUUUUUAUAAGGGUCAGAUCCUUGAGAAUGGGCUAUCAUGUUUAUUUCAUGCUCUAACCAGCAUUCUUUUACAAAAGUACAGAACCAGCCUGACUAAGCACAGGCAACAGAUCACAAGGGUUGGAGCUAAAGGAAUAGACCUAAUAUGGAGUUAGGUUUUUUCCUUCUCUGUUACACCAUCUCUUCCUGUCUUUGGACAAACACUACUGUGGCAACUCAUGGUGGUUCUUACAAGUUCUUAGAGCUUACUUUUUU
This 1458-nucleotide long non-coding RNA is filed under the name Ovis aries (sheep). RNAcentral describes it as "lncRNA (ENSOARG00000026651.1)". The record is from RNAcentral. Lineage: Eukaryota; Metazoa; Chordata; Mammalia; Artiodactyla; Bovidae.